Molecule: non-coding RNA, 775 nt
Filed under: Hydarella orientalis
Lineage: Eukaryota; Metazoa; Arthropoda; Insecta; Hemiptera; Coreidae
Source: RNAcentral
UUUUAGAUUGAUUCUGUCUAUUAUUAAUUAAUUGUUUGAUAGUAUUAUAUAUAAAUUUUUGUGCGGUUAUAAUUUAUCUAAAUGGUAUUAUUUGUUUAUUUGUAGUUUUUAAUAUUAGGUAUUUUUGAAAAAUUAACCUAGUUAAUCUUAAUAGAAUUGUAAAAUGUUGUGCCAGCAUACGCGGUUACACAAUUAAUUCAAGUUAAUUUUUUCGGUUAUUUAUUAAUUUUAUUUUGUUAAAAUUUAUAUUUUUGUUAUUUAGGUGAAAUUUUAAUUUUUAUUAUAUAUUUUUGGUUGUAAGAUUAUAAGAAAUUUAGAUUUUAAACUAGGAUUAGAUACCCUAUUAUUCUAAAUGUAAAUUGUGAGCCUUUAUAUUAAUAGUUAUGGUCUUUAAAUUAAAAGGAUUUGGCGGUAAUUUAGUCUUUUCAGAGGAACCUGUUCUGUAAUUGAUAAUCCACGAUGGAUUUUACUUUAUUUUUGUUUGUAUAUCUCUGUCAUUGAAUGUUUUAUUAGAAUAUUUUCUGUUAUUAUCUAUUUAAUGAAUGUCAGGUCAAGGUGCAACUAUAUUAAAGUUUGAAAUGGGUUACAUUUAAUUUUAUUUAUUGGAUUUUUAUUUGGAAUUUAAUUUAAAUGAAAUAGGAUUUGAAAGUAAUUUUUAUUAUUUUAUAAUAAUGAUUUUAGCUCUAAAUUAUGUACACAUCGCCCGUCACUCUCAUUUUUAAGAUGAGAUAAGUCGUAACAAAGUAAUUUUACUGGAAAGUGAAGUUGGAAUUAU